GCAAGUCGAACGAGAAAGUACCUUCGGGUGCGAGUAUAGUGGCGCACGGGUGAGUAACACGUAGGUGACCUACCUUUUAGUUUGGGAUAACUAGUGGAAACGCUGGCUAAUACCGGAUGUUCAUUUAGGCUUAAAUACCUAAAUGCAAAGGGGGCUUCGGCUCUCGCUAGAAGAUGGGCCUGCAAGGCAUUAGCUUGUUGGUGGGGUAAUGGCCUACCAAGGCGAUGAUGUCUAGCUGGUCUGAGAGGAUGAUC
Molecule: ribosomal RNA, 254 nt
Filed under: uncultured bacterium
Lineage: Bacteria
Description: partial 16S ribosomal RNA
Rfam family: Bacterial small subunit ribosomal RNA
Source: RNAcentral